UACACUAGGUUCUCCGACUUUCACAGUAAGUAGGCGAGGAGUGAGCGGGGCUCUCAAUGAGUUUGUUUAUUUUUUGCUCAGCUUUUCUGUGGUUUGUUGGUAAACAAACUUCAUGAGUUCCGCAUAGUUGCAUAGCCUACAUAGCCAAAAUGGCUGAAUCGGGAAUUCGUUAUUCGGGAACACCUCCUGAAUAUAUACCCACCUUGCAUUAACCUAAGAACUUCCGUUCUCAUAGAUAGCUAGAAUUGCUAUAGUUUUAUAUUCCUUCUAAAAGUUAUCAGCCUGUUGAGCUACAUUCGGUGAAAGAAUUCAUUAGUGCUUAUAAUCAUAGCUAGUUUUAUACACAGUUGUGUAGGUACUUGAUCUGCAUCAUACACGUUGGAUUCCGACUCCGAUUUCGGAUACUUAGUCUCCGCUAAUAAGUCUUCAUCUACCGAGAAUAGCAAUAGCUAGUUGCCAAAUAACAAAUCGGCGUUAAUUGGAUUGAAAU
Molecule: long non-coding RNA, 490 nt
Organism: Uranotaenia lowii
Lineage: Eukaryota; Metazoa; Arthropoda; Insecta; Diptera; Culicidae
Exons: 3
Source: RefSeq, a predicted model, not a curated record